This 25-nucleotide non-coding RNA is filed under the name Rattus norvegicus (Norway rat). Lineage: Eukaryota; Metazoa; Chordata; Mammalia; Rodentia; Muridae. The record is from RNAcentral.
UAACUCUUGGUGUAAGAAGAGCGAG